ACGAACAAGUUGGAAACGACUGCUAAUACCGCAUACGAUCUAAACUCGGCAUCGAGGAUGGAUGAAAGGUGGCCUCUAUUUAUAAGCUAUCACUGAAGGAGGGGAUUGCGUCUGAUUAGCUAGUUGGAGGGGUAACGGCCCACCAAGGCGAUGAUCAGUAGCCGGUCUGAGAGGAUGAACGGCCACAUUGGGACUGAGACACGGCCCAGACUCCUACGGGAGGCAGCAUG
RNAcentral lists this ribosomal RNA (230 nucleotides) under uncultured bacterium. Its description in RNAcentral is "partial 16S ribosomal RNA". It matches the Rfam family "Bacterial small subunit ribosomal RNA", at positions 142 to 353 of the family's 1533-position model. The record is from RNAcentral.